Molecule: long non-coding RNA, 472 nt
Organism: Cyprinus carpio (common carp)
Lineage: Eukaryota; Metazoa; Chordata; Actinopteri; Cypriniformes; Cyprinidae
Exons: 6
Source: RefSeq, a predicted model, not a curated record
AACACCAACCCAGGCUACUAGCCUUGUGGAUAUCGCCUAUACAAAACUUAAUGAGACCUCCUAUGCUCUCACAUUCGAAUUUGAAAUCAGUAAUAUAUCCAUGUCUGAGAAACGUGAACUAAGGAAUGAAACCAAAACUUCAAUCAAAAGCACUAUAAAUACAUUGCUUGUCGACAUCCUAAAGGAUCCCUCAGCUUCUCAGUUUGAUCUGCAAAACGUUAAAUUUGAUGAUAAUAGCACAGUGAUUCUGGCCAGUGUGCAGUAUGUUUUCUCACAAAGUGACUUGAACACAAACAGCAACCUUUGUCAAGGAAAUAUUCAGUGCUAAGGAAGUCUUAACGACAGCCAGUGCUCUGACAACAAGCACAACUUCUCCGCCAACAUUGCUUGGGAAGGUGAUCAUAUACAUCCGCCUUGUUUUUAAAAACACGGGGUACUAUCCCCAAGUGAGAGUAACGUUGGUAAAUGUGGC